RNAcentral lists this ribosomal RNA (459 nucleotides) under uncultured bacterium. Its description in RNAcentral is "partial 16S ribosomal RNA". It matches the Rfam family "Bacterial small subunit ribosomal RNA", at positions 339 to 795 of the family's 1533-position model. The record is from RNAcentral.
CUACGGGUGGCAGCAGUAGGGAAUAUUGGUCAAUGGACGCAAGUCUGAACCAGCCAUGCCGCGUGCAGGAUGACGGCCCUCUGGGUUGUAAACUGCUUUUAUAUGGGAAGAAACCCCGGGAUGCGUUCCGGGCUGACGGUACCAUACGAAUAAGGAUCGGCUAACUUCGUGCCAGCAGCCGCGGUAAGACGAAGGAUCCAAGCGUUGUCCGGAUUUACUGGGUUUAAAGGGUGCGUAGGCGGAUGCUUAAGCCAGUGGUGAAAUCUCUCAGCUCAACUGAGAAACUGCCAUUGGAACUGGGCAUCUUGAAUUCGAUUGAGGUAGAUGGAAUAUAACAUGUAGCGGUGAAAUGCUUAGAUAUGUUAUGGAAUACCGAUUGCGAAGGCAGUCUACUAAGUCGAUAUUGACGCUGAGGCACGAAAGCGUGGGUAGCGAACAGGAUUAGAUACCCCCGUAGUC